AGAGUUUGAUCAUGGCUCAGAACGAACGCUGGCGGCAGGCCUAACACAUGCAAGUCGAGCGCCCCCGCAAGGGGGAGCGGCGGACGGGUGAGUAACGCGUGGGAAUUUUCCUCAAGGUACGGAACAACUCAGGGAAACUUGGGCUAAUACCGUAUGAUGUCUAGCGACCAAAGAUUUAUCGCCUUGGGAUAAGCCCGCGUCAGAUUAGGUAGUUGGUGGGGUAACGGCCUACCAAGCCUGCGAUCUGUAGCUGGUCUGAGAGGACGAUCAGCCACACUGGGACUGAGACACGGCCCAGACUCCUACGGGAGGCAGCAGUGGGGAAUCUUGCGCAAUGGGCGAAAGCCUGACGCAGCCAUGCCGCGUGAAUGAUGAAGGUCUUAGGAUUGUAAAGUUCUUUCGCUCGUGACGAUGAUGACGGUAACGAGAGAAGAG
Molecule: ribosomal RNA, 435 nt
Filed under: uncultured Holospora sp.
Lineage: Bacteria; Pseudomonadati; Pseudomonadota; Alphaproteobacteria; Holosporales; Holosporaceae
Description: bacterial SSU rRNA
Rfam family: Bacterial small subunit ribosomal RNA
Source: RNAcentral